RNAcentral lists this unclassified non-coding RNA (211 nucleotides) under Hevea brasiliensis (rubber tree). Lineage: Eukaryota; Viridiplantae; Streptophyta; Magnoliopsida; Malpighiales; Euphorbiaceae. The record is from RNAcentral.
UCUUGUGGGGCUGCUCCUGAUGUGUCUUUUGAUGGGGUUCGGCUGGAAGAGCAGGUUCAGAAUACUUCUUCAUCCUCUGACCAGAAAUUACUGGGUGAUAGAACCUUGAAGCUGUUGUCUGGAUCAUGUUACUUGCCACACCCAGACAAGGAGGAAACUGGAGGGGAGGAUGCUCAUUUUAUCUGUGUCGAUGAACAGGCCAUUGGCGUAG